This 315-nucleotide long non-coding RNA is filed under the name Androctonus crassicauda. Lineage: Eukaryota; Metazoa; Arthropoda; Arachnida; Scorpiones; Buthidae. The record is from RNAcentral.
AUGUUAUUUCUGGUGUCUGUUCCAUGUUGUAUUCUAUUUGUGUGUGUGAAUUGGUUUAAUGUUGUGAUAUUUGUUGUGUUUAGGGCCGUAAUGUGGGCAGGGCGACCAGGGCAAUCGCCCCGGGCACCGCAACCAGAGUGCACCUGGAUGACAAAUGAACAAAAUUCAAAAAUUCAGAUUAUGUUGGUAAAUGAAUUUUUUUAGAAAUUUUAAUCGUAAUUCAGAUAUUUUAAUAAUGAUAAGGCCAUGGCUAAGUAAAAUUACCGGUAAUGUAAAACAUUGUCUAGGAUUAUUCAACUGGAACUCUCUCCAGCU